This 23160-nucleotide long non-coding RNA is filed under the name Gossypium raimondii (Peruvian cotton). RNAcentral's name for it is "long non-coding RNA (GRAI_LNC007637)". Lineage: Eukaryota; Viridiplantae; Streptophyta; Magnoliopsida; Malvales; Malvaceae. The record is from RNAcentral.
CUGCAUAAACCAAGGGAAAAUAUAACUUCCUAAAAGCUCCAGACCCUUUCUUCUUCUAUUGUCCCCUGAGAUACAAUACUGUAGCCACAGCCUAGUUCGGCUGCUUCAACCACUCCUAAUCGUUCUCCACCGCCACCACGGCAAAUCUGGGCACACUUUGUAACAGAAGUCUUUUUCACUCUUUACUCCUCUUCUUCCUUCUCUAUUUGCUCUAGCCGCCGCCUUCACUCCACUAUGCAGUAAAUCAUUGUCGACGUCCCUCAGGUCAACUGAUAUCACCAGAGUAUAGCUCUCUUCCUCAUCAAUCUAUUUUGCUUCUGUUGGUUUGUAUUUUAUGUAAAUUUUGGUUUGAAUGCAGUAAUGGAUACUUCAAAGAUCGGAGUUCAAAAGCUUGAUUUUGCUAGUGCAAUACUGUAAGUGUAACUUUAUUAUUUUUUUUGUUUGUUAAUUUUCCGCUUUAAAUGUUACCGUUUAAGACGGGCAGGGAAAAGCCCGGCUACCUGUUCUUCUCAGGCUGUCUUUCAACAUCCUCUAUUGAAUCUCAAGUACUAGGCUAUUUUAUCCAAAUGACACAAAAAUAAUAAUAAUUAAUUAUGUUAAUGACUUAAAAGUGAUUUAAAGUGAACACUAAAGUGGGGUUAAGGGUAAUAAAUGGUGACAUUAGAUAAAUUUUUGACACAACCAUCAAGCGGUAAAAAAAUUUAGGGUGUUAAAGACACUUAUGGCCAGCACUCUAUUACUAAAUAAUAAAAAAAACAAUAUUUUUGAGUGUUGCAACAUUAAUUGUCGGCACCUCAAUAUCAAAUUUAAAAAAAAAAUAUUUUUUUGGUUGUUGGGACAAUAAUUUUCGACUUCCCAGUAGUAGAUUUAAAAAAAAAUAUUUUUUUCAGUUGUUAGGAUAUUGAUAGUCGGCACUCUUUCAAUAUAUAGAGUUAUUUUGUCUUUCAUUUAAGCUUUCUUUUUUCUUUAGUUGAAAAUGGAUAUUAAUAAUAUUAGUGUUUUGUUUGUUGAGGAGAAAGUAGAAAUUGUUGAAGAUGAGUUUUGAAAUUUUGUUUAUUUAUAUUUAUCUUGAUUGGGAAAUGAUAAAUACUGGUUUUUUAUAAAAAUAUUAUAAAAAAAUACAAAAUAACCAAAAUUUUAUAACUUUUUUAUUUACCAAAAAAUAUAUAUAUUUANNNNNNNNNNNNNNNNNNNNNNNNNNNNNNNNNNNNNNNNNNNNNNNNNNNNNNNNNNNNNNNNNNNNNNNNNNNNNNNNNNNNNNNNNNNNNNNNNNNNAAAAGGGGGGUCGGUGGUGGGGGGGCAGAAGGAGAGGGAAAGAAAGAAAGGAAGGAGAGGAAAGAAAGAAAAAGAAGGAAAGAAAAGGAAAGGAGAAGAGAAAAAAAGAAAGAAGAGGAAAAGGAAAGGAGAAGAAAAAAGAAAGAAAGAAGGAAAGAAAAGGAAAGGAGAAGAGAAAAAAAGAAGAAGAAGAAGAGGGAAGAAAGGAGAAGAAAAAAGAAAAGAAAGGUAUUUUUUUUAUAAAUUUAAAUUUUUUGUAAUAUUUGUAUGUUUAAAAUUUAUGUUAUGUACGUUAUAGUUAUUUUAUUAUUUUAUUUAGCAUAUACAUUUUAUAAAAUAUAUUUAAAAUAAAAAAAUAAUGGUAUGUACAUUGUAUGCUAGGGUUUUUUAUAAAAAUAUUAUAAAAAAUAAAAAAUAACCAAAAUGUUAUAAAAUUUUUUUUAUUUACCAAAAUAUAUAAAAAAACUUGCAAAAAAAACUGCACCGAUGUGACGACAUCUUGGUCAUGCCAAAGCCAUUGGCGGCAACAAAGGUGCCAAAACCAUUUGCGGCACCAAUGGUGCCAUACUGAUUAGCAGCACUACUCGUAUUAUAAAUACGAGUUCUGUCCAGCUGAAGGGAGAAAAAUCAAAAGAAAAAGAAGAAAAAGAAGAAAAAGAAGAGGUGCUGCGGAAAAGAAGAGAAAAAGAUAGAAAAAGAAGAGAAAAAGAAGGUAUUUUUUUAAAAAUAAUUGAUUAUAUUUUUGUUAUUAUUUUGUAUAUUUUGUAAUAUUUUUUGUUUUAAUUUAGUUAUUAAGAUUAAUAAAACUAAAAAUAAUAGUAUUAGCUAGUAUUAUUAUUAUUAUUGUUGUUGUUGUUAUUAGUAUUAAGAUGUUAUUAAUAUAUUAAGAUGUAACUCAGUAAUAUUAUUGUUAGCAAAAAACUAGUAUUAUUAUUAUUGUUACUUAUUAUUUUUAUUUACCAAAAUAAACUAGUUUGUAAAAAACUAGUAUUAUUAUUAUAGUUAGUUAGUUAGUUAUUAUUUUUAGUAAAAUUAAUAAUUUUAGUAUGUAUUAUUUUGAGUAUAAAAUUAUUAAUAUUAUUAGUGUGUUAGUUAUAAGGAUUAGUGGUUAAACGGUUUUCAUGUACAAAAUUGCAUAUUGAAACAUUAAAUUUUUUUAAGUAAUUUAGUUACCGUUCGAGAAUUUUUAUGAGAUUUUAUUUUUUUACAGAUUAAAUAUUGAAGAUGGAUGCUAAGUUUCUUGUAUGCGUUUAUUUCGAUGGAGUCAUCUUAACAACAAGUGUUGGAUGUGUAUUUAAAUGUCGGCAACAAAUAGCAAUGAGAUUUAAUAGAAAUGUAUCGUUCGAUGAAAUGAAGGCAAGAAUUAAUUCAAAAAUUCAUAGACGUUGUGGGAGAAGGAUAUUAAAAAUUUUCUACAAGUUUCCAGUUUCGAUAAAUCUGGUCAAAUUUGUCGAAAUGGAACUUGAAGACGACGAAGACGUGGGGACAAUGGUUGAUCUCUACUGUGGGAAUAAGAGUGAGAAGAAUGCACCGAUUCACUUAUUUGCUGAGUUAGUCGGUAUGGAGCAAAAUGAAGAUGUUAAUGCAUCUGAUGAAGAAGACGGGGCUGAAGAACCGUGGAUGGUGGCUCCAAUAUCAUACGUUGAUAGUGAAUCAACUAUGGGUGAGAUCGGUAUCGACCUGAAUAUUACACCCGAUGUUGACAUGGUUGGUGGUAAAGAAGAAGGUGCUGUCGAAUAAGAAAGCGGUGGCGAUCAUUGGGAUAAAGAGGUCGAUAGUGACGGUGAUACCGAUGUGGAUAAUGUACCUGAUGAUAUUUACAAUAAAGAUGUUAACAACGAUGAAGACAUUAACGCUUCUUCGGUCGAGGAGCAGAUGCGGCGUAUUUUGAUACACAAUAAUCUUGGGCCAUACAUGUCGCUCAUAGACCCCGACGCAGCAUAUGUAGCUGAGUUUCCGGAGUAUCCUGAAAUAGUUCAUUCUCACGAGCUGGCCGUAACAUCUGAUUAUUAUGAGUUAUUCAUAGGCCAGAGAUUCAGCUGUAAAGAAGAGUGCGUAUAUGCCAUUAAACGGUAUAGCAUGAAUUAUAAAGUCUCCGUGUCUACUCCGAAAAUAUAUGUUAGGGAGUGUUGGAAGGCAGCGGAAGGCUGCAAUUGGCGGGUACGAGCUGCAUUUAUUAGAAGUUCUCAGAUGUGGGAAAUACGAAAAUUUGUUGGUCCUCAUACAUGCACAUCAACAUGUAUGAUAGAAGAUCAUGAAAAAUUUGAUUCGAAAACUAUUUGUACGUGUAUCAUGCCAAUGGUGAAAGACAUGCCGAUAAUUAAAGUUUCGGUAAUCAUUGCAGAAAUGUAAGCAUGAUUCCAGUAUCGAGUCUAAUAUCAGAAGGUAUGGAUAGCUAAACAGAUGGCGAUGGAGCAACUGUAUGGGAAUUACGAUUUGUCGUAUAACGAGCUUUAAGGUUGGAUAGCUGUUAUGCGGGAGUACGUACCGGGGACUGUGAUUGAGUUGCAAACAAGUCCAUAUUACAGCCCGGAUAACCAGUUACAGCCGGUAAAAAGAUUUUCCAUCGGAUGUUCUGGACAUUCGAUCCAUGUGUGCGGGCAUUUCCCCACAGUAAGCCACUUGUGCAGGUGGAUGAGACCUGGCUGUAUGGAAAAUAUACACAGAUCCUACUUCUUGCAGUUGCUCAAGGCGGUAACAGAAACGUGCUCUCGAUAGCAUUUGCUAUCGUAGAUAAAGAGAACAUGGAGUUUUGAGAAUUUUUUCUUACAAAUCUGCGGAGGUAUGUUAUUAGGAACGAUAACAUUUGCAUCAUCUCCGAUAAAGGGAAGGGUUUAAUUACAGUUAUUAGGCGUUCCGGUGUGUCGUGAAGAUCUAUUUACUGCAUUCGUCAUAUUGCGUCUAACUUCCAUAAAGAUUAUAAGAAUGCAGACUGGAAGAGACAAGUCGUGGCAAUGGGUAAAUGAUAACCUUAUCUUUUCAAUAUAAGAUGUAAUGUUUGAUGUUAUCGACUUAUUAGAACUUAUUUUUCGUUAAUACGUAUGCAGCGUACGAGUUAGAGUUACAUAUUUUUCAGCAAAGAAUGAUCCGACUUGAAAGUAACAUGGAGGGGCAGACGAACACAUCUUUCCGACAAUGGUUGCGCACAAUAGAGUCGUGGCAGUUGACUCAAAGUUUUGACGAGAGCUUUCGUUAUGGCCACAUUGCCACAGAAAUAGAAUAGAUGUCAUGAAUAUUAGAAUAGCGUCUUACCCAUUCCCGGGCAUGCAGUUCAAUCCUAAGGCGGUAUAUUGGGACAUCACACGACUUCCCGAUGCCUAGACGGGUCGUCCACCUAAAUAAAACAGUAUAGGGUUUAGGGUUGGUAACAUUACUUAACAUAUUAUUACUACAAAUAAUGACAAUUUAUAUUUUAUCACCUGAGUGAUAGUGGAUACAGAUAGGGUUGUUGACUAACGCGUGCCAAAAACGGCAAUUAAUAAAGCGCCCAGGACUGCAGCAGUAUGAGGCAUCCGCCGAUGUCUUUAAUAUGCGGCUCUGUCGCCCGACAAAGCUCCCGGUACAGUGUUGCUAGAACGAUGGAACCCCAGCUAUACGACCUAGCAGUGGACAAAUAAGCUAGCAGGGGCAAGUACGACAAAUGCACACUGUCGCCGUUUGCAUCAGGCAUGAGUACUGCCCCUAUCAUAUGCAUGAUGUACGCUCGAGCAGCGCACAUCAACUCACCUUCAGUGGCGAUCGCUGAUAAUUGUCCAAUUUUAGCUUUUAGCCAUAUAAAUUUUAUGCCGAAAAAAUAUUUAUCACCGUCCUCUGGUGACUCUCCUAGGAGUUGAUAGCAAAGUGCAGUCGGAUCGGUGAAUGAAUAUACUCCCGUUAUGGGACUCCCGUCAAUUGGGAGCCCAAGCUGCACUGCAACAUCCUCCAAGGUCACCGUGCACUCCACGCACAGAAAAUGAAAAGUGUGGGUCUCCGGACGCCACCGUUCCACUAGCGCAGAUAAUGGCUGUUUUACCAAACUAACCCAAAAAUAAAUUAUGUUUGAAAAAAUAACCCAAGUUUAAAAACAAUCACUAAAAUAACCUAAAAUAAACAGUACCCACUCGUUUUUUGCACCAAUGAUUGUCUAAUAAUUGUGUCAGAAUUUUAAAAAUUAAGUUUUUGGGUUCUGGCCUAUCAGUGGUCGGAACCCAUGUAUUUUUUUAAAAAUUUGUAUAAUACUGAUAUAUGAAAAAUGAGGAAGAAAAAAAAGAAAAAAAUUAUUUUUUGGGUGCUGGCCUGUCAAUGGCCGGCACCCAACAGUAAAAAAAAUUUCUUUUUUUUUGUCAGAAUAAGAUAUAAAUAUACGAAAAAAAUAAAAAAAAAUUUUGGGUGCUGGCCUGUCAAUGGCCGUCACCCAGUACAAUUUUAAAUUUUUUUUUCGUGUCAGAGUCAGAUAUAAAUAUACGAAAAAAAUAAUUUUGGUGCCGGCUUGUCAAUGGUCGGCACCCAGUACAAUUUUAAAUUUUUUUUACUUUUUUUUCGUGUCAGAGUAAGAUAUAAAUAUAACGAAAAAUUAAAAAAAAAUUUUUGGGUGCUGGCCUGUCAAUGGCCUGCACCCAGUACAAAUUAAAAAAAAUUUCUUUUUUUUCGUGUCAGAGUCAGAUAUAAAUAUAUUAAAAAAAUUAAAAAAAAAUUUGGGUGCUGGCCUGUCAAUGGUCCGCACCCAGUACAAUUAAAAUUUUUUUUUCCAUGUCAGAGUCAGAUAUAGAUAUACGAAAAAUAUGCGCUAUUAAUAGAUAGAUUCAGUUCUUAGAGGAUACCUUAAUCGAAGAUGCAAGAAUUAAAGAAAUAAGUUUUAAAUUCUGUCAUAGAAAUUCUGAAAAAAAUUUAUCCUUAAUGUAUCGAAAAAUAUGCGCUAUUAAUCACACAAUUAUUUAGAAAUUGCAAACAUUUAGAUUUUGUUCACAUAUUAAUUGUCUUUUUAUUUUUUUUCUAUUUCCUCCUAUUUACUAUUACAAAAUUAAAAUCCCUCAAGUCCUAUAUAUUUUUUUGUAAAUUUAGAAUUUAGUUUGUAUAUUUUUAUUUCUAAGAAUUUAGUCCUAAUAUUUUAAAUAUUACGAAGUUAUAUAUUCAAACAAAUAAUUAUGUUAGAUUCAUUAAAUAAAUAUUAAAAAAAGAAAAAUAUAAAAAUAAAAGGAAUAUUUACAUAAUAAAUUAUAAGAAAGUACAAAUUAACAUAAAAAAUUAAAAUUGUCGCGAUCCUAGGGACGUGCCCGGCGCUGGCGUGUAACGAUCCGGAUGCCUCCGUCGGCGAUGCCGUGCACCUUGCUGAGGCGUUUGAUAAUUGCUCGGUCCAGAGUCCUGUGUCACUUCCGGUGUAGUUAAAAAGGUGGAAUAAUUAUAUUCACCAUAAUCGGGACUUAAUUGGUAUUGCGUGACCGGAGGUGCCGAUGGAAAAAUAUCCUCAGUGGUGGGUGUACGUGCUUCGGGGUGGAAGUCCGGGUGGUAUGGGGAUGACGAUCCGGAUCAUGUCGGAUGUUGACGGUGGAGGUUGUCACCAAAAAAAUCUUUAAAUGAUGGAGGAACUCCAUGUAAUGGAACCGGAUCUAUGAACUGUGAUGAUGAGUCGGAUGCUUCAUUUUCGGCCCCCAAUUCAGCCCCAAACGGCGGAACUCGGUUACUGCGCGGUUGGGCGUUCCUUGGUUGCCAUCGCGAAGAAUCAGGUCGCGCGUCUCUUUGGAUCAGCAUGUACUGACCCUGGAAUAUGAAGGGUUUCCCAUGUGCCAUAUACCAUGCUGCGUACUCGGGCGUAGGAGAGAACCCUCCCUCUAAGACAUACAAGGGAGGGCGCCUCAAAUGUCGCUGAUUCCACAGAAAGAUAUAUGGUUCAUAUUUCUGUGCCCAAUUUAAAGAGUCCCGAGUCGGUCCCUUUUUAUCCAUUCCGUGGACAUCUGAGAUGUCAACGGGAGGCUUCGGGAUAGGCUGUGCGCAACCGAAUUGCCUCAAAACCCGACCUCCAUCGUGCCACUCCACCAUAUAGAAAUUAAUCAACGGCACAUUAGACACGAACACGUGUUGCUGCUCAACCACCAAUGCUAUUAAUGGAUGCCAUAUACUCAGGAAGAUCUCGCGACACUCAUACCGUCAUGGGUGGUCGAGCAGCAAUACGUGUCCGUGUCUAAUGUGCCGUUGAUUAAUUUUCAUACGGUGGAGUGGCACGAUGGAGGUCGGGUUUUGAGGCAAAUCGAUUGCGCACAGCCUAUCCCGAACCCUCCCGUUGACAUCUCAGAUGUCCACAGAAUGGAUAAAAAGGGACCGACUCGAGACUCUUUAAAUUGGGCACAGAAACAUGAACCAUAUAUCUUUCUGUGGAGUCAGCGACAUUUGAGGCGCCCUCCUUUGUAUGUCUUAGAGGGAGAGUUCUCUCCUACGCCCGAGUACGCAGCAUGGUAUAUUGCACAUGGGAAACCCUUCAUAUUCCGGGGUCAGUACAUGCUGAUCCAAAGAGACGCGCGACCUGAUUCUUCGUGAUGGCAACCAAGGAACGCCCAACCGCGUAGUAACCAAGUUCCGCCAUUCGGGGCUGAAUUAGGGGCCGAAAAUGAAGUAUCCAACUCAUCAUCACAGUUCAUAGAUCCGAAUCAACUGCAUGGAGUUCCUCUAUCAUUUGAAGAUUUUUUUGGUGACAACCUCCACCGUCAACAUCCGACACGAUCCGGAUUGUCAUCCUCAUACCACCCGGACUUCCACCCCGAAGCACGUACACCCACCACUGAGGAUAUUUUUCCAUCGGCACCUCCGGUCACACAAUACUAAUUAAGUCCCGAUUAUGGUGAAUAUAAUUAUUCCACCUUUUUAACUACACCGGAAGUGACACAAGACUCUGGACCGAGCAAUUAUCAAAUGCCUCAGCAAAGUGCACGGCAUCGCCGACGGAGGCAUCUGGAUCGUUACACGCCAGCGCCGGGCACGUCCCCAGGAUCGCGACAAUUUUAAUUUUUUAUGUUAAUUUGUACUUUCUUAUAAUUUAUUAUGUAAAUAUUCCUUUUAUUUUUAUAUUUUUCUUUUUUUAAUAUUUAUUUAAUGAAUCUAACAUAAUUAUUUGUUUGAAUAUAGACUUCGUAAUAUUUAAAAAUUUUAGGACUAAAUUCUUAGAAAUAAAAAUAUACAAACUAAAUUCUAAAUUUACAAAAAAAUAUAUAGGACUUGGGGGAUUUUAAUUUUGUAAUAGUAAAUAGGAGGAAAUAGAAAAAAAAUAAAAAGACAAUUAAUAUGUGAACAAAAUCUAAAUGUUUGCAAUUUCUAGAUAAUUGUGUGAUUAAUAGGACAUAUUUUUCGAUACAUUAAGGAUAAAUUUUUUUCAGAAUUUCUAUGACAGAAUUUAAAACUUAUUUCUUUAAUUCUUACAUCUUCGAUUAAGGUCCACUUAGUGUAUCCUCUAAGAAUUGAAUCUAUCUAUUAACAGCGCAUAUUUUUAGUAUAUUUAUAUCUGACUCUGACACGAAAUUUUUUUUUAAAUUGUACUGGGUGCCGGCCAUUGACAGGCCAGCACCCAAAAUUUUUUUUUAAGUUUUUUUCGUAUAUUUAUAUCUGAUUCUGACACGAAAAAAAGAUUUUUUUAAUUUGUACUGGGUGCUGAUUUUUUUUUAUUUUUUCGUAUAUUUAUAUCUGACUCUGACACGAAAAAAAAAGUAAAUUUUUUUUAAAUUGUACUGGGUGCCACCCAUUGACAGGCCGGCACCCAAAAUUUUUUUUAUUUUUUCGUAUAUUUAUAUCUGACUCUGACACGAAAAAAAAGAAUUUUUUUUAAAUUGUACUGGGUGCCGGCAAUUGACAGGCUAGUACCCAAAUUUUUUUUUAUUUUUUUCGUAUAUUUAUAUCUUAUUCUGACAAAAAAAAAGGAAAUUUUUUUUACUGUUGGGUGCCGGCCAUUGACAGGCCAGCAACCAAAAAAUAUUUUUUUUUUCUUUUUUUUCUCCUUUUUCGUAUAUCAGUAUUAUACAAAUUUUAAAAAAUACAUGAGUUCCGGCCACUGACAGGCCAGAACCCAAAAAAUUAAUUUUUAAAAUUCUGACACAAUUAUUAGACAAUCAUUGGUGCAAAAAACGAGUGAGUACUGUUCAUUUUAGGUUAUUUUGGUGAUUGUUUUUGAACUUGGUUUAUUUUUGCAAAUAUAAUUUAUUUUUGGGUUAGUUUGGUAAAACAGCCGCAGAUAAUAAAUCAAAGCGCAAGUCGGAGGACCGGAUCAAUGCUAUUGACCCAAAUCCGACUAGCUCCAGGUACGGCAUCAAUCGUGCAUCCGGAGCUAUCUUUAAAACACUCACACGGCCACUUAAUACUCGGAACGAGUCCUGAUAGUGUUAAAUUACAGAAAAAAUAUUACGAUAACAUAAUUUAUUUGUAUAUACUGUGUGUAUCUUUUUUAAAUAAAUAGAACUCCUGAUUAACAAAUAAUAAAUCAUACCACGUUAUUAGCCGCAUCAGAUAUGUGUCUAAUAUCGCUUCGAAUCAAUCGAGGCAUUGCGAUGCCUGCAAGUUGAAAAGAAAGUUAGUAAAAAAAUCUUACAUCGGCCAUUUAUUUGUAUUUUUUUCUCCGCAUUUUAUUCCUUUAAAAAAUAUCAUAAUUUCUAAUUUUAUAAUUUUACAUUAUUUCAGUGCAUAAUGUUUAAAAUUUAUUAAUAUAGUUUGUUAUUUAAAUUAAUUUGGUGUAAAAAAAUAACCCUUACCCCUGCCCUUUGCUCGUAUUAUUUUCUCGAUUUUUAUUACUUUAAAUAAAAAUAUAUUAUUCUCCUAUUUUAUUAUUUUAUAUUAUUUCAGUACAUUUUCUUUGAAAUAUUUUGUAUUAUUUAUUUCUGAAUUUUAAAAAAGUUAGUAAUACACUUUUACUUUUGCCAUUUGUUCGUAUUUUUUUCUCCGCAUUUUAUUACUUUAAAAAAUAUCAUAAACUUAGUCUUUUAUAAUUUUACAUUACCUUUUAAUCCCUCCUUAUUUAUUAUUUUCUUUUAUUCCCCCUUAACACACUAAAUUAAUAAAUUUCUAAUAUUAUGCACUGAAAUAAUGUAAAAUUAUAAAAUUAGAAAUUAUGAUAUUUUUUAAAGGAAUAAAAUGCGGAGAAAAAAAUACGAAUAAAUGGCCGAAGUAAGAUUUUUUUACUAACUUUUUUUUCAACUUGCAGGCAUCGCAAUGGCUCGAUUGAUUCGAAGCGAUAUUAGACACAUAUCUGAUGCGGCUAAUAACGCGGUAUGAUUUAUUAUUUGUUAAUCAGUUCUAUUUAUUUAAAAAAGAUAUAUGCAGUAUAUACAAAUAAAUUAUGUUAUCGUAAUAUUUUUUCUGUAAUUUAAUACUAUCAGGACUCGUUCCGAGUAUUAAGGGGCCGUGUGAGUGUUUUAAAGAUAGCUCCGGAUGCACGAUUGAUGCCGUACCUGGAGCUAGCCGGAUUUGGGUCAGUAGCAUUGAUCCGGUCCUCCGACUUGUACUUUAAUUUAUUAUCGGCGCUAGUGGAGCGGUGGCGUCCGGAGACCCACACUUUCCAUUUUCCGUGCGGAGAGUGCACGGUGACCUUGGAGGAUGUUGCAGUGUAGCUUGGGCUCCCAAUUGACGGGAGUCCCGUAACGGGAGUAUCUUCAUUCACCGAUCCGGCUGCACUUUGCUAUCAACUCCUAGGAGAGUCACCAGAGGACGGUGAUAAAUAUUUUUCCGGCAUAAAAUUUACAUGGCUAAAAGCCAAAAUUGGACAAUUAUCAGCGACCGCCACUGAAGGUGAGUUGAUGUGCGCCGCUCGAGCGUACAUCAUGCAUAUGAUAGGGGCAGUACUCAUGCCUGAUGCAAACGGCGACAGUGUGCAUUUGUGUACUUGCCCCUGCUGGCUGAUUUGUCCACUGCUAGGUCGUAUAGCUGGGGUUUCGCCGUUCUAGCAACGUUGUACUGGGAGCUUUUUCGGGCGACAAAGCCGCAUGUUAAAGACAUCGGCGGAUGCCUCAUAUUGCUGCAGUCCUGGGCGCUUUAUCGGAUGUCGUUUUUGGCACGCGUUAGUCACCAACCCUAUCUGUAUCCACUGCCACUCAGGUGAUAAAAUAUAAAUUGUCAUUAUUUGUAGUCAUAAUAUGUUGAGUAAUGUUACCAACCCUAAACCCUAUACUAUUUUAUUUAGGUGGACGACCCGUCUAGGCAUCGGGAAGUCGUGUGAUGUCCCGAUAUACCGCAUUAGGAUUGAAUAGCAUGCCCAGGAAGGGGUAAGAUGCUAUUCUAAUAUUCAUGACAUCUAUUUUAUUUCUAUGGUCAUGUGGCCAUAACGAAAGCCCUCGUCAAAACUUUGAGCCCACUGCUACGGCUCCAUUGUGCGCAACCAUUGUCAGAAAGAUGUGUUCGUCAGCCCUUCCAUGUCACUCUCAAGUCGGAUCAUUCUUUGCUGGAAAAUAUGUGGCUCUAACUCGUACGCUGCAUACGUAUUAACGAAAAAUAAGUUCUAGUAAGUCGAUAACAUCAAACAUUAUAACUUAUAUUGAAAAGAUAAGGUUAUCAUUUACCCAUUGCCACGACUUGUCUCUUCCAGUCUGCAUUCUUAUAAUCUUUAUGGAAGUUAGACGUAAUGUGACGAAUGCAGUAAACGGAUCUCCAUGGCACACCGGAACGCCUAAUAGCUGCAAUUAAACCAUUCCCUCUAUCGGAGAUGAUGCAAAUGUUAUCGUUCCUAAUAACAUACCUCCGCAGAUUUGUGAGAAAGAAUUCCCAAGACUCCAUGUUCUCUUUAUCUACGAUAGCAAAUGCUAUCGGGAGCACGUUUCUGUUACCGUCUUGAGCAACUGCAAGAAGUAGGAUCUGUGUAUAUUUUCCAUACAGCCAGGUUCCAUCCACCUGCACAAGUGGCUUGCAGUGGGGAAAUGCCCUCACACAUGGAUCGAACGUCUAGAAUAUUCGAUGGAAAAUCCUUUUUACUGGCUGUAACUGGUCAUCCGGGCUGUAAUAUGGACUUGUCUGCAACUCAAUCACAGUCCCCGGUACGUACUCUCGCAUAGCAGCUAUACAACCUUGAAGCUCGUUAUACGACGAAUCGUAAUCCCUAUACAGUUGCUCCAUCGCCAUCUGUUUAGCUAACCAUGCCUUCCGAUAUGAGACUCGAUACUGGAAUCGUGCUUGCAUUUCGCAAUGAGUACCGAAACUUUAAUGGUCGGCAUGUCCUUCACCAUUGGCAUGAUACACGUACAAAUAGUUUUCGAAUCAAGUUUUUCAUGAUCUUCUGUCAUACAUGUUGAUGUGCAUGUAUGAGGACCAACAAAUUUUCGUAUUUCCCACAUCUGAGAACUUCUAAUGAAUGCAGCUCGUACCCGCCAAUUGCAGCCUUCCGCUACCUUCCAACACUCCCCAACAUAUAUUGUCGGAGUGGACACGGAGACUUUAUAAUUCAUCGAUAUCUUCAUGCUGUACCGUUUAAUGGCAUAUACGCACUCUUCUUUACAGCUGAAUCUCUGGCCUAUGAAUAACUCAUCAUCAUUAGAUGUUACGGCCAGCCCGUGAGAAUGAACUAUUUCAGGGUACUCUGGUAACUCAGCUACAUACGCUGUGUCGGGGUCUAUGAGCGACAUGUGUGGCCCAGGAUUACUGUGUAUCAAAAUACGCCGCAUCUGCUCCCCGACCGAAGAAGCAUUAAUGCCUUCAUCGUUGUUGACAUCUUCAUUGUCAAUAUCAUCAGGUACAUCGUCCACAUCGGGAUCACCGUCAUUAUCGACCUUUUCAUCCCAAUGAUCGCCACCACCUUCUUCUUCGCCACCACCUUCUUCACCACCAACCAUGUCAACAUCGGGUGUAAUAUUCAGGUCGAUACCGAUCCCACCCAUAGUUGAUUCACUAUCAACGUAUGAUAUUGGAGCCACCAUCCACGGUUCUUUAGCCCCGUCAUCUUCAUCAGAUGCAUUAACUUCUUCAUUUUGCUCCAUACCGACUAACUCAGCAAAUAAGUGAAUCGGUGCAUUCUUCUCACUCCCAUUCCCAUAGUAGAGAUCGACCAUUGUCUCCACGUCUUCGUCGUCUACAAGUUUUAUUUCGACGAAUUUGACCGGAUUUGUCAAAACUGGAAACUUGUAGAAAAUUUUUGAUAUCCUUCUCCCACAACGUUUAUGAAUUUUUGCAUUAAUCCUUGCCUUCAUUUCAUCGAACGAUACAUUUCUAUUAAAUCUCAUUGCUAUUUGUUGCCGACAUUCAAAUACACAUCCAACACUUGUUGUCAAGAUGACUCCAUCGAAAUAAACGCAUACAAGAAACUUAGCUUCCAUCUUCAAUAUUUAAUCUGUCAAAAAAUAAAAUAAAAUCUCAUAAAAAUUCUCGAACGAUAACUAAAUUACUUAAAAAAAAUUGAAUGUUUUAACAUGCAAUUUUGUACAUGAAAACCUUUUAACCACUAAUCCUUAUAACUAACACACUAAUAAUAUUAAUAAUUUUAUACUCAAAAUAAUACACACUAAAAUUAUUAAUUUUACUAAAAAUAAUAACUAACUAACUAACUAUAAUAAUAAUACUAGUUUUUUACUAACUAGUUUAUUUUGGUAAAUAAAAAUAAUAAGUAACCAUAAUAAUAAUACUAGUUUUUUGCUAACAAUAAUAUUACUAAGUUAGAUCUUAAUUCAUUAAUAACAUCUUAAUACUAACAACAACAACAACAACAACAACAACGACAACAACAACAAUAACAACAACAACAACAAUAAUAAUAAUACUAACUAAUACUAUUAUUUUGAGUUUUAUUAAUCUUAAUAACUAAACUAAAACAAAAAUAUUACAAAAUAUACAAAAUAAUAACAACAAUAUAAUCAAUUAGUUUUAAAAAAUACCUUCUUUUUCUCUUCUUUUCUGCAGCACCUCUUCUUCUUCUUCUUUUUCUUUUGAUUUUUCUCCCUUCAGCUGGACAGAGCUCGUAUUUAUAAUACGAGUAGUGCCGCCAAUCAGUAUGGCACCAUUGGUGCCGCCAAUGGCAUUGGCAACAUUGGUGCCGCCAAUGGCAUUGGCACCAUUGGUGCCGCCAAUGGUUUUGGCACCUUUGGUGCCGCCAAUGGCUUUGGCGUGACCAAGGUGCUGUCACAUCGGUGCAGAUUUUUUUGCAAGUUUUUUUUUGAUAUAUUUUGGUAAAUAAAAAAAAGUUAUAACAUUUUGGUUUCUUUUUUAUUUUUUAUAAUAUUUUUGUAAAAAACCCGAUAAAUACAGUUAAAGAAAGUUGUGUCUUUUAAAAUAAACAAAAACUUGGAAUAAGAUUCAAUAAGCGAGUUUUGUUAGUGGAUUUGAAACAGAAAAUUAGUAUAAAUAUAACUACCUGUUGUGGGAAGCAAAUGUUGAGAUUAUUAUAGAUCCUUUCAGGUUUUCAAAAAUGGAGUUUGAAGAUUAUGAUGAUCUAGAAAUAAUAAUAACAAUUUAUUGCCCCUUAAGGUGGAUAACUCUAGCCUGAUUGAGUUGUUUGCAGAGAUAGUUGAACCAUAAUCUAUUGAAGUUGUAAUUUUAGUAAGUCAAUAUUUUGGAAUUGAUUUUGAUUUUAAAUUUUGGUGAGAAGAUCAAUCGCGUUAUGAAGGGUCACUGUAAACUCUCGAAAAUAAGUUGUAAUUUUAGUAAGUAAAUAUUUUGCAAUUGAUUUUGAUUUUAAAUUUUGGUGAGAAGAUCAAUCGCGUUAUGAAGGGUCACUGUAAACUCUCGAAAAUUCAAAUUAUAAUUGAUGUUUGUAUAAUGUCCUAAUCUCGUAUUCUCAUUUAGAGAUUCAUCUAGAUGUGUUAAUCACCAUAAAAAAUUGUGAUAAAAUAUCCAAUAAUGAAGAGCGUCUCACCAUGGUAGUGAAGAUUUUAAUAAACCUUUACAAUUUAAUACAGGGUGAAAAAAUAGAAAGGUGCCAAUCAUCAACUAUCCAACAUCUAAAAAAUUAAUUUUUAACUACUUGACACAAUCAUAAUAAUUGUGUCAAAAAGUUAUCUGAUGCCGAUCAUUUAUUACCCCCAAGCUAAUUUUAUUGUUCAUUUUAAGUGAUUUAGGUGAUUGUUUUUGAAUUAAGAUAAUUUAUGUAAUAAUUUUUAAUUAUUUGGGUAAAAUAGCAUGGAAUAUAGUAGCUUUUACUAAGUUCAAACCCUAUUUUGCUCUUUUCAAGAAAGAAAAUUUCUUUAACAAAUUUUUUGAACUUAUUAACUAAGAAAUUCUAGUUUAUUGUUUUUAUUUCUGCAAAAAGAGUUAAUCUGUUGCCUAUUUUCGAGUUUUUUUACUAAAAUAUUAUAAAAAAAUUAAAAAUAACCAAAAUAUUUUAUAUAUUUGUUAUUUACCAAAAUAUACAAAAAAAAAAAACAAAAAUCAGAAAAAAAAGCUGCAGUUGAUUUGACAAUACCCUAGAGGAGGGUAUCUGAUAGGCGGCACCAAAGGUGCCAUUCCCAUGGGCAGCACUAGUUGUGUUAUAAACACGAGCUUUGUCCAGCUGAAGCAGAAAAAAAAGAAGAAAAAGAAGAGAAAGAAGAGUUGUUGUAGAAAAAGAGAGAAAUAGAAGAGAAAAAAAGGUAUUUUUUAAAAACAAUUGAUUAUCUUUUUGUUAUUUUUUAUAUAAUUUUUAUUAUUUUUGUUUUAGUUUAGUUAUUAAGAUUAAUAAAACUCAAAUUGAUAGUUUUAGUUAGUAUUAUUAUUAUUAGUUUUUAGGGUUUAGAUGUUAGUUGGUAUUAUUAUUACUAAAAAACUAGUAUUAUUAUUAUGGUUAGUUAUUAUUUUUAUUUACCAAAAUAAACUAGUUAGUAAAAUACUAGUAUUAUUAUUAUGGUUAGUUAUUAUUUUUAGUUAGUAUUAUUUUGAGUAUUAUUCAUAGUCGGAAUAAAUGCCCUUAUCGGAUCUUUCAUGUUGGACAGUUGUUUCGGAUCGGGUCGGAAUUGACCUAAUGAUGUAAAAUUUUUAUAUAUAGUGUUAUAAAAAGUCUAAUUCAUUUGAAAUAAUUUUUAUUAAUUCAGCUUAUGCUUAAAUUGUAUCCAACUUAAGUUAUAAAAUACCAUGUGCGCAUUUGGAAUUAAUAAAAUUAUAUCGAAAAUAGAGGCAUUUAUAAUUAGAUUCACCUUUAAUAUAAUGCAAAAAUAGAAUAAUUAAAUUUAUACAAAAAAGUUCAGAAGUAAGAAAAGAUUAAAUUAGAAAUAUUAAAUUUAUACAAAAAGAAUACAAACUUCGUAAUGUACAAAAAGUGCAUUAAACUCCUAAAAUUGAUGGUUCGAUGGUGUGGUCCUAAGGGUAUACCUAUUCGGAGGUCGACGAUCACGUUCUGGGCGACGACCAACAUCAUCAUUCGGCGCAGGUGGGGGUGUGGCAAACAUAGAGGAAAAUCCUGUGGCUUGUUCGGCACCGACAAACUUGAACCGGAAGGAGUUUGCCACACCCCCACCUGUGCCGAAUGAUGAUAUUGGUCGUCGCCCAGAACGUGAUCGUCGACCUCCGAAUAGGUAUACCCCUAGGACCACACCAUCGAACCAUCAAUUUUUGGGGUUUAAUGCACUUUUUGUACAUUACGAAGUUUGUAUUCUUUUUGUAUAAAUUUAAUAUUUUUAAUUUAAUCUUUUAUUACUUCUGAACUUUUUUGUAUAAAUUUAAUUUUUUUUUUGCAUUAUAUUAAAGGUGAAUCCAAUUAUAAAUGCCUCUAUUUUCGAUAUAAUUUUAAUAAUUCCAAAUUAGCACAUGAUAUUUUAUAACUUAAGUUGGAUACAAUUUAUGCAUUAGCAUAAGCUGAAUAAUAAAAAUUAUUUCAAAUGAAUUAGACUUUUUAUAACACUAUACAUAAAAAUUUUACAUCAUUAGGUCAAUUCCGACCCAAUCCGGAUGACUGUCCAACAUGAAAGAUCUGAAUGAGGGCAUUUAUUCUGACUAUGAAUAAUACUCAAAAUAAUACUAACUAAAAAUAAUAACUAACAAUAAUAAUAAUACUAGUUUUUUACUAACUAGCUUAUUUUGGUAAAUAAAAAUAAUAACUAACCAUAAUAAUAAUACUAGUUUUUUAGUAACAAUAAUACUAAGUAACAUCUAAACCCUAAAAACUAAUAAUAAUACCAACUAAAACUAUCAAUUUGCGUUUUAUUAAUCUUAAUAACUAAACUAAAGCAAAAAAUAAUAAAAAUUAUACAAAAAAAUAACAAGAUAAUCAAUUAUUUUAAAAAAAUACCUUUUUUUCUCUUCCCGUUCUCUCUUUUUCUGCAACAACUCUUCUUUCUCUUCUUUUUCUUCUUUUUUUCUGCUUCAGCUGGACAGAGCUCGUGUUUAUAAUACGACUAGUGCCGCCCAUGGGAAUGGCACCUUUGCUGCCGCCUAUCAGUUAGGCACCUUUGGUGUCGCCAAUCAGAUACCCUCCUCUAGGGUAUUGUCAAAUCGGCUGUAGCUUUUUUUUACUUUUUUAUUUUGGUAAAUAAAAAAAUAUAUAAUAUUUUGGUUAUUUUUAAUUUUUUUUUAUAAUAUUUUAGUAAAAAACCCCUUAUUUUCAUUUUGAUAGGUAAGUGUAAUAAGUUUUUACAGGAAAAAAGUUAUUGAAUUAGUUUCAACUUUAGUUAAUUGAUAAAUAUAUUAUUUUGAAAAAUAAAUUUCAAGGCUCAAAGGUUAGGACUACCUUAAGCAAAAUAUCAUCUAUUUAUCAGGUCUGGUUUAAAUUAUUAUGUACACAAGUUUCAUCAUCAAUCAAAUAUUAUAGUCUAAAUCUUUUAGAAAGAAUUAUUAAUUUUAAUAAAAAUAUUAAUUAAAAUCUUAAAAUUUUAAACAUUACAAUACACAGUUCACGUGUAUUAUAUAUAUUUUAAAUUUUUAUGAAUUUUAUAUAUACUUUUUAAAAUUUUUUCAUAUAUUAGGCGGGCUACGGAGGAAAAGAUAACACUGGCAUAAAAUUUAUAAAGUAUGUACAAAAUCUAAGAAGUUAGUCAAUUACUUACAUGGAAAGCAAAAAAUUUGAAAUAUGUACGCGCAUGCGGGGGUGAUGUGACAAGAAACAGAAUCAAGUGGAAAAGGAGUAAAUUGUAAGGUUAUUUUACCAAAUUGAUCUAAAAAAGUUUAAUACUUAUAAAAAUAAUUCAGGUUUAAAAAUAAUCACCAAAAUAACUUGAAAUAAAUAGUAAAAAAAAAAUUGACCUGUCAAUGGCUGGCAUCACCUGGUAUUUUAGACCUGUGAUUGCCUAUUGAUUGUGUCAGACUUUAAAAAAAUUAAAUUUUUUGGUUUUGAUAAUGGCCGGUACUAGUAUACAAAAAUUUUAAAAAAAAUUUUGGGCGUUGGCUUGUUAAAUGCCAGCACCAGCAGGACGAAAAAAAAAUUUUUUAGUUGCUGGCCUGUCGAUUGCCGGCAUCAGUAUAUAAAAAAAAUUUUGGGUACUGGCCUUCUAUUGGUCAGCACCACCGGUACGAAAAAAUUUUUUUGGUUGGUCGGCACCAGCAGUACGAAAUUUUUUUUAGGUGCUAGCCUUUCAAUGGCCGGUACUAAUGUACGAAAAAAAAUUUUUGGGUGCUGGCCUGUCAAUGGCCGGCACCAGCGUACGAAAAUUUUCUUUUGCUGGCCUGUCAAUGGCCGGCACCAAAUUUAUCAAAUAUAUAUAGGUAUUUUAUCUUCUAUUUUGUUUUGUUUGAAUUUUUUUUCCUUUGUUUAGAAAGUAAAUUUUUUUAAAAAAUGAGUUCCCAAAAGUUGUUUGUUUAUGCUCAUUUCAAUGGAGAAAUGAUAAAUAUAAUUGAAAAAGGUUUUGUAUUUCGAAACCGGAAAAAAAUAGGAAUGAGAUUCAACAAACAGAUUUCGUUGUCGGAUUUGAAAUGAAAAAUCAGUACAAAGAUAGCAACCCGUUGCGGAAAGCAAAUGUUGAGACUGUUUUACAAAUUUUCGGUUUCAACUGAUCCGCUAAAGUUCUGAAAAAUGAAGCUUGAAGAUGAUGAUGAUUUAGGGACAAUGAUAGUAAUUUAUUGCCCAUUUAAGUGGUAAUUCUAGUAAGCCAGCGCUUCGGAAUUGAUUUUGAUCUUAACGUCUUUUGGGAAGAUCAAUCCGGUUUUAGACUGUCAAUGCCAACUCCCUAAAAUCCAAACACCGGUGGAUGUUUGUAUAACACCCUAGACUCGUGUCCUCUUCUAGAGAUCCAUUCAGAGGUGUUGGCCACCAUAGAAGAUAGUAUUGAAGGGUUUGAUAAUGAUGAUCAGUCCCACCGUGAUCCCAACGAUGAUUUUAGUGACCCCGAUUUGGAUGACAUCCUUGAAGACAUAGACGAAGAAGACGAGGAAGGGUCGGUAGAAGGUGAAAAUGCGAACCCCCAUUCGGCCGGAAACACAGGUCUUGGUAUGGUUAUAAGAAAUAAUCCAGGCUCCUUUAUGACCGACGUGGAUCCUGAUGCUGCUCUUGAACGUGAGUUUUCGGAAUAUACAAAUAUUGUGCCAGCUCACCUAAUUGACAAUGAAUUCGACGAAGAAGAGUUGUUUGUAGAACAACAAUUUGAUAAAAAAACUGUUUACAUGCUAUAAAACAAUUGAGCUUGAAGUUAGAUGUGGAUUAUAAAGUAACGAAGUCGACGCAGUCUUUGUAUGCAGGAGAAUGUUGGAAAUCGUUGAGUGGUUGUAAAUGACUUGUCUGAGCCGUGUUAAUGCAGCAGACACAAAUGUGGAUGAUAAUUAAACUAGAAGGUCCACACACAUGCACGUUCGCUCAUAUGUUGCAAGAUAAUUGAAAGUUAGAUACAAAAACUAUAUGUAACUGCAUCAUCCCUUUAGUGAAAGAGUCACCCACCAUUCAAGUGUCAGUCCGUAUUGUGGAUAUGCAAGCUUGAUUAAGUACAAAGUGUCGUACCAAAAGGCAUGGUGGGCAAAGCAAAUGGCGAUGCGAGAGUUGUAUGGUGACUGGGAUGCGUUAUACAACGAGCUUCAAGGGUGGAUUGUAACACCCCUUACCCAUAUUCGACAUCAGAAUAGAGUACGAGGCAUUACCAGAAUACAUGCACUUGUAAACGUAUUGAACCGAGUUAUAAAAUUCCAUUAUUUAUUAAAAAAAUUUAAAUUAUUGACAUGCUUUUAUAAUUCUUCAUAAUAUAAAUAAUACAACAUUUCCUACCAACCGCAAUCGAGCUUCCGAUAAUCGUCUCACUACAUCUAAUAAUUGUACAUAUUACCAAUAUUAAUUCAAUUUCAAUAAUAAAACACAUAUCUAUAUAAUAUUCAUCAUCAAAUAACAUUCACUUUAAUUAAAAUUAUACAGAAUGUAGUUCAUACGAACUUACCAAGCUAAAUUGCAGAAAUACCAAAAUUCGGGGACAUUUUGAAAAAUUUCUAUUUUUCUCGAAUUUCCAUCCAAUUUUAAUCUAAAUUAAUAUUUCCUUCAAUUUACUAAUUUAAACAAUAAAACAAUUCAUUUCAUGCAAUUUGAUCACUUUUUGACAUUUUUACAAAUUUACCCUUAAAUUUUCACAUUUGUUCAAUUUAGUCCCUGAAACAUAUAAAUUGGUCAUUUUUAAUGAAAACUCAUGCUAGUUGAAUAAUCAUAUAUUUUCCUCCUCCUCCUCUCCAUUCCACAUCCUUAAUGUAUAUAACAUGCUUAUAGGUAACAUUAUCUAUAAUUUCACCAAUUACUUAUAUAUUCAUUCAAAGCUGUCCACUUGAGUCAUAAUCACUAAAUUAUUUAUAUCUUGAGCUACAGAACUCAAAAUUAAGAUCCGUUAAUUCUAUCUAAAACUAGACUCACAUAUAUUCUUAUAAUAAAAUUUUCAGAAUUUUUGGUUUAGCCAAUAAGUACAGUUUAUUCUUUAAAGUCAUCCCUGUUCUGCUGUCUGACAGUUCCGACCCUUCUUCACUAAAAAUUAACUAUCUACUCGUACAAAAUUUGAAUGAUGUUACCGUUUAUUUCUAUUAAAAAUAGACUCAGUAAGGAUUUAAAAAUAUAAAUUUAAGCCUCUAAUUAUUUUUCUCCAAUUUUUGAUGAUUUUCCAAAGUCAGUACAGGGGAACCCGAAAUCAUUCUGACCUUAUCUCACAAAACCUAUAAUAUCUCAUAAUUUACAAUUCCAUUGCUUGAACCAUUUAUUCUAUGAGAAACUAGACUCAAUAAUAUUUAAUUUCAUAUUGUGUUCAUCCUCUAAUUCAAUUUAUACGAUUUUUGGUUGAUUUUCAAAGUCAGACUACUGCAGCUGUUUCAAAACUAUUUUAGUGUAAAAUGUUGAUUACUAAGUCUAUAACACUCUUAUUUUCCUUCUCUACACUAUUUCUCAACACUUUCUCUUAUUUUCUCUUCACUAACAUAUCAAGAACAUAUAACCUUAUAUAAUAAAACUCUACAUUAACAUCAAUCUCAUACUUUUUUAAUAAUAUCAAACUCAAAAAUAUAUUGAAAUCAUGAUGUNNNNNNNNNNNNNNNNNNNNNNNNNNNNNNNNNNNNNNNNNNNNNNNNNNNNNNNNNNNNNNNNNNNNNNNNNNNNNNNNNNNNNNNNNNNNNNNNNNNNAUUUUCUCUCUCCUCCAGCCUCUAUUUCUUGAAUCUAACUUGAUAUUCUAGCUCCCUAUAGUCUCCUUGUCAAUUUUCUCUCUUGGUGCCUAUGGAAAUUUCUUUGAUUUCUAAGUGAAAAUGGUGGAUUUUUGGUGAAAGGACCAAAUUGUAAAGAAAAUAAAGCUUUCUUUCUUCUCCUCUUCUUCUCACGUUAAUGCAUGCAAAUAUGGGUGGGAUAGAUGUCUUUCAUCAUUUCUUCCACAUAUAUAUACUAAAUAAAUUAAUAAUAAAAUAAUAUCAUUUAAAAAAAUCAAAUUAAAAUAUUAAUAAACUAANNNNNNNNNNNNNNNNNNNNNNNNNNNNNNNNNNNNNNNNNNNNNNNNNNNNNNNNNNNNNNNNNNNNNNNNNNNNNNNNNNNNNNNNNNNNNNNNNNNNAUGAUCUUUUAAAAUUCUAUCCUUGAGUCAUCACUUAAUUUGGUAAAAUUGUGAUUUAGUCCCUCAAACUUCUUCACCUUUUUCAAUUUGGUCCCAAUCCAUCCAUUUUUCUUAGUUUCUAGAUUACUCCACCCUUAAAAUAUUUACACCAUUGGUCCUUCAACUUUUUCAUAUUUACACUUUAACCCCUCAGCUAUUGAGUAUUUACUCUUGGGUAACAACACUUUUCUCACUUUUGCGAUUUAAUCCUUUCUUGAAUUAAUAUGUUAUAAUAUACUUCUCAAUAUUGCCAUAACUCAAAAUUACCCCUUUUUAGCACUUUAUUUCCUUAUUUUACCAUAUCAGAGAUAUUAUCUUACUUUCCUUAUUAUAGAAAUUUUCGGGGUAUUACAUGGAUAGUUGGGAUGCAUGAAUAUGUGCCAGGGACAGUGGCUGAUUUGCCAACACUGCCGUAUAAAAGCCCUAACGGGGAGAUACAAUCGGGGAAAUGAGUUUUUUACUGAUUGUUUUAGACGUUCGAGCCGUGUGUUAGGGCCUUCCCUCGGUACAAGUCGAUGGUGUAGGUGGACGCGGCAUGGUUGUAUGGAAAGUACACACAAGUCCUCUUGAUUGUUGUUGCACUAGACUACAAUCGAAAUGUACUUCCGAUCGCUUUUGCCAUCGUGGAGCAUGAGUGCUUCGAGUCUUGAGAAUUUUUCCUAACAAAUCUGCAGAGGCACGUUGUCAGAGAAGACAACAUUUGCCUAAUAUCAAGUAGAUUGAAAGGAUUACUUGCUGCGAUAAGGCGAUCAGGGUUUUCGUGGAGGUCUGUUUAUUGCAUCUUGCACAUUGUGGCAAACUUUCAUAUAGAUUAUAAGAAUAAAGAUUCGAAAAAAGAACUCAUGAACAUGGCUAAAAAAUUUUUUUGUAUUUAUUUCAAAAAUUGUUUUUCAAAUUUUUUAUUUUUAAAUUGGUGAUUUCAAAUUAAAUAUGCAGCCCAUGAGUUAGAACCGAGAAGAUUCAGGCAGAGGUUCUCAAGGUUGAAUCUCAGAUGUCAUCUUUACCAACAAAUCUCCGGACAUGGUUGGGCA